This 468-nucleotide ribosomal RNA is filed under the name uncultured bacterium. Its description in RNAcentral is "partial 16S ribosomal RNA". It matches the Rfam family "Bacterial small subunit ribosomal RNA", at positions 28 to 507 of the family's 1533-position model. The record is from RNAcentral.
GACGAACGCUGGCGGCGUGCUUAACACAUGCAAGUCGAACGGAAAGGCCCUGCUUUUGUUGGGUGCUCGAGGGGCGAACGGGUGAGUAACACGUGAGUAACCUGCCCUUGACUGUGGGAUAACUUCAGGAAACGGGGGUUCAUACCGGAAAUGAGUUCCGGCUGCAUGGUGGGGGUUGGAAAGGUUCGGCGGUUGGGGAUGGCCGGGCGGCUUAUCGGCUUGUUGGUGGGGGAGUGGCUUACCAAGGCUUUGCCGGGUAGCCGGCCGGAGCGGGUGACCGGCAACAUGGGGACGGGGAUACGGCCCGGACUCCAACGGGAGGCAGCAGUGGGGAAUAUUGCACAAUGGGCGGAAGCCUGAUGCAGAACCGCCGCGUGCGGGAUGCCGGCCUUCGGUUUGUAAACGGCUUUCGCAGGUGACGAAGCGUGAGUGACGGUACUGGGUGAAGAAGCACCGGCUAACUACGUG